GGGGGCGACCUGGUUUCGACGUGGGUUGCAAAGCAGAACAGGGCAUACCGAGGACUGGUUACCUCGUAAAUACAUCCAGAAAUCAAUAACUGCAAACGAUAACUCGUACGCACUCGCAGCCUAAUCGCUGCUAGCUCUACACCACCUCGCCUCUGGGGUGUGCCGCAAGGCAAGUAGAGUCAUUUACAGAGGCUAGGACUCAACCGGGUUACCUGGUUGCUUCCGAAAUUUUAGGUAACUCGCUUGGUUGCAGGGUGCACGUCCCCGUCAGCCAAGUUAAAUUAAAAGACAGUGCUAAGUAUGUAGAACUGUCUGUAGAGUGCUUGCGGACGAGGGUUCGAUUCCCUCCGCCUCCACCA
Massilia sp. JS1662 is the source of this 359-nucleotide non-coding RNA. The record is from Rfam. Lineage: Bacteria; Pseudomonadati; Pseudomonadota; Betaproteobacteria; Burkholderiales; Oxalobacteraceae.